This 2874-nucleotide ribosomal RNA is filed under the name Salmonella enterica subsp. enterica. RNAcentral's name for it is "23S ribosomal RNA". It matches the Rfam family "Bacterial large subunit ribosomal RNA". Lineage: Bacteria; Pseudomonadati; Pseudomonadota; Gammaproteobacteria; Enterobacterales; Enterobacteriaceae. The record is from RNAcentral.
UUGUGAGUUAACGACUAAGCGUACACGGUGGAUGCCGGCGGUCAGGGCGAUGAAGGAGCGUGCUAAAUACGCGAUAAGCGCCGGUAAGGUGAUAUGAACUACGGUAUAACCGGCGAUGCGAAUGGAAGCAGUGUGACUCGUCACUAUCAUUAACUGAAUCCAUAGUUAAUGAGGCGGGCAGGGAACUGAAACAUCCUAAGUACCCCGAGGAAGAAAUCAACCGAGAUUUCAUUCCCCCCGUGGCGGCGAGCGAACGAGGGAGGCUUAGAGCCUGGUCAGCAUAUUGUGUUAGUGGAAGCGUCUGGAAAGGCGCGCGACACGAGGCGGCAGCCCGUACACAAAAAAGCGCAUGUGCUGUGAGCUCGAUGAAGUAGGGCGGGACACGUGGUAUCCUGUCACGAAUAUGGGGGACCAUCGCUCAAGCUAAAUACUCCUGACUGACCGAUAUUGAACCGGUACCGUGAGGGGAAAGGCGAAAGAACCCCGGCGAGGGGAGUGAAAAAGAACCUGAAACCGUGUACGUACAAGCAGUGGGAGGCACAGGUUUGCCGCAAUGUGACUGCGUACCUUUUAACUUAUAAUGGGUCAGCGACAUAUUCUGCUUAGCAAGGAUUAGCAUAGAGGCCGGAGGAAACGGAAAGAUGUAGUGGGCAUUAAGUUGCAGGAAGGUAGGCCAGAAACCCCGGUGAUCUAGCCAUGGGCAGGUUGAAGGUUGGGUAACACUAACUGGAGAGUGAACCGACUAAUGUUGAAAAAAAUUAGCGGAUGACCUUAUGGCUGGGGGUGAAAGGCCAAUCAGGCGGGGAGAUAGCUGGUUCUCCCCGAAAGCUAUUUAGGUAGCGCCUCGUGAAUUCAUCUCGGGGGUAGAGCACUGUUUCGGCUAGGGGUAUCCCGGCCCCACCAACCCGAUGCAAACUGCGAAUACCGGAGAAUGUUAGCAUCACGGGAACACACGGCAGGUGCUAGCGUCCCGUCGUGAGAACAACCCAGACCGCCAGCGCUAAGGUCCCAAAGUCAUGGUUAAGUGGGGAAAACGAUGUGGGAAGGCCCGAACAGCGAGGAUGUUGGCUUAAGCAGCCAUCAUUUAAAAGCGUAAUAGCUCACUGGUCGAGUCGGCCUGCGCGGAAAAUGUAACAGAGGCUAAACCAUGCACCGAAGCUGCGGCAGCGACACUGUGUUGUUGGGUAAGGGGCGUUCAUAGCAAAGCACGAGGGUGUGUGUCGUGAGGCAUGCUGGAAGUAAUAAGUGCGAAUGCUGACAUAAGUAACGAUGACGAAAGCAUUGAAAAAGCCCGCUCGCGCCGGAAACCAAGGUUCAUCCCAGCAGGCAGGUGAGUCGACCUAAGGCGAGCCGAAAGGCGUAGUCAUGGGAAGCAGGUUAAUAUUCCCGUACUUAGUGUUGUUACUGCGAAGGGGGACGGAGAAAACUAUAUUGGCCGAGCGACGGUUGUCCCGGUUUAAGCGUGUAGGUGUGUGUUCGAGUAAAUCCGGUUCUUUUAACACUGAGGCGUGAUGACGAAGGCACUACGUGCUGAAGCAACAAUGCCCUGCUUCGAGGAAAAACACUCUAAGCAUCAGGUAACAUCAAAUCGUACCCCAGCCGACACGAGGUGGUAGAGAAUACCAGAGCGCUUGAAGAACUCGGGUGAAGGAACUUAGGCAAAAUGGUGCCGUAACUUCGGGAGAAGGCACGCUGACACGUAGGUGAAGUGAUUUACUCACGAGCUGAAGUCAGUCGAAUACCAACUGGCUGCAACUGUUUAUUAAAGCAGCACUGUGCAAACACAGUGGACGUAUGCGGUGUGACGCGUGCUGCCCGGUGCCGGAAGGUUGGUGAUGGGGUCAGCGCAAGCGGCUCUGAUCGGCCCGGUAAACGGCGGCGUAACUAUAAUACCCGGUCCUAAGGUAGCGAAAUUCCUUGUCGGGUAAGUUCAAAACCUGCACGAAUGGCGUAAUGAUGGCGAGGCUGUCUCCACGAGACUUUCAGUGAAAGUGAACUUUCGCUGUGAAGAUACGGUGUACCCGCGGCUUAAGACGGAAAAGACCCCGUGAACCUUUACUGCCAGCUUGACACACUGAACAUUGAGCCUUGAUGUGUACGUAGGAUAGGUGGAGGCUUUGAAGGCGCCAGUCUGCAUAAGGCCGACAGCGAAAUACCACCCUUUAAUGUUUGAUAUUUCUAACGUGGACCCGUUACCCAGGGACGCGGACGGUGUCUGGUGGGUAUUGUUAGUUUGACUGGGGCGGUCUCCUCCUAAGUAACGGAGGAGCACGAAGGUUGGCUAAUCUGGUCGGACAUCAGGAGGUUGAAUUGCAAUGGCAUAAGCCAGCUUGACUGCGAGCGGCGCGAGCAGGUGCUGGAACAGUGAUCCGGUGGUUCUGAAUGGGCCAUCGCUCCAGCGGACAGGCUCCGGGGAUAACAGGCUGAUACGCGGGUUUAUAUCGACGGCGGUGUUUGGCACCCUCGAUGUCGGCUCAUCACAUCACGGGAAAGUAGGUCCCCAAGGGGCGCGAAACAUUCGCCAUUUAAGAGUGGUACGCAGGCGCUGGGUUUUAGAACGUCGAGACAGUUCGGUCCCCUAUCUGCCGUGGGCGCUGGAGAACUGAGGGGGCUGCUCCUGGUACGAGGAGGACCGGAGUGGACGCAUCACUGGUGUUCCGGGUUUGUCAUGCCAAUGGCACUGCUGGCAAAUGCAGCGGAAGAGAUAAGUGCUGAAAGCAUCUAAGCACGAAACUUGCCCGAGAUGAGUUCUCCUGAACUUAAGUCUCCUGAAGGAACGUUGAAGACGACGGUGAUAGGCCGGGUGGUAGCGCAGCGAAAAGCGAUGCGUUGAAACUAACCGGUACCUGGCGAACCGUGAGCAGCCUUGCAACG